GAUGAACGCUAGCGGCAGGCUUAACACAUGCAAGUCGAGGGGCAGCGCAGGUAGCAAUACUGGGCGGCGACCGGCAAACGGGUGCGGAACACGUACGCAAUUUACCCUUAUCUGGGGGAUAGCCCGGAGAAAUCCGGAUUAAUACCCCAUAAUAUAUACGGAUGGCAUCAUCUGCAUAUUAAAGCUCAGGCGGAUAAGGAUGAGCGUGCGUCCCAUUAGCUAGUUGGUAGGGUAAAGGCCUACCAAGGCGACGAUGGGUAGCUGGUGUGAGAGCACGACCAGCCACACGGGCACUGAGACACGGGCCCGACUCCUACGGGAGGCAGCAGUGAGGAAUAUUGGUCAAUGGACGCAAGUCUGAACCAGCCAUGCCGCGUGGAGGAUGAAGGCCUUCUGGGUUGU
This 402-nucleotide ribosomal RNA is filed under the name uncultured bacterium. RNAcentral's name for it is "bacterial SSU rRNA". It matches the Rfam family "Bacterial small subunit ribosomal RNA", at positions 28 to 426 of the family's 1533-position model. The record is from RNAcentral.